Molecule: non-coding RNA, 107 nt
Organism: Gossypium raimondii (Peruvian cotton)
Lineage: Eukaryota; Viridiplantae; Streptophyta; Magnoliopsida; Malvales; Malvaceae
Source: Rfam
AUGCCGUGAUGAGGGCACUUUUGUAAUAACUCCUUGAACUGCUCCCAUGCCUCAUAUAAAGAUUCUUCAUCAAGUUGAUGAAAUGAUGUGAUUUCAUUUCGGAUCUU